UUGAUCUUCCUGCUCCAUACCUCCAAGCACCUGAUGUGCUGCAGCACAGGUGAAUGUCCUUGCAGCUGCGUUUCACACGUCGGAGGAUUGCCCAGUGCAGGUGACAAGCAGUAACUGAGGAGGCAUGGUAGGAAACUGCACCUGCCUGGGCCUGCAGGGACUGUGUGCAUGGUGACAGAGGAGGAGGAGGUGGGUCUCCGUGCGAGUGGGGCAGCAGAAGGCUGCCAGCUGCCUUGGGCCUGAGGGUGAGGCAGUGAGCUGCUGAUGGCACGGCUUCACUCACCUGGGAGAUUGCCACAUGCACGGGGAGCCAGGGGCAAAACAAGGUGCAGCUGACAGGGGGCGGGAGAAACUCUGAUUGCAAGUUAGCAAAAAAUCUCCCGGCAGGUUUGGGCAUGUGGGGUCUUCUCUUUGAGGGCUGCUGCUUCACCAGAGAGGAGUGGUGAGUAGCACUUUGCUUGUGGAAGGAGCCCUGUCUUUUCCAUAAAAUGACAUUGUGCCACCACAGCUCUGUCUGCAGAAGUAUUUCAAAGCUAAAUGUUAAUGAGCAGAAGGCUCUGGUCCCUCAGCGAGGAAGUGCUGAUGUGGGAAUGGCAGCAAAGACUCUGCAAGGCACUGCUGUAACUCUGCACGUGGCAGAGAGAAGUCAGUACCACCGGGCUAGCAGGAGAGAUGCCUUUGUCUGAACAGAACGAGCAGAUGGAUGUGCAGGAAACCAGCCUGCUGGAAGAGCUGGCCAUUUGGAGAGCCAGCGUUGGAAGUGGCUGCUGCAAAGGAACCUGGAGGGAGAACCUCACUUAUAAAUAUUUAGAGGUGUGUGCUUUUGGUUCUUCGUGCACUGAAAUGACCUUAAUGGGCUGUGAUUCACCGUAAAUACAGAGGUGGUUUGUAAUGCAGCUCUCAAAACUGGAAGAUACAUGGUACCCUUGUACUUCCUAGCCAGUUCAGUCAGAGGAGUUGUUCUGAAAAUGUGUCCCUUUCCUAAAUAAUGUGUGUCUCUGGCUGGUAGUGUUUGUUUAGCACAUCAAACACUUUUCACCCUCUUUCUCAGUUCAUAAUAGGCCCCCAGUGAAUCCUUCUGAGGAGCAGAGCUAACUCAAAGACCAAACCAAGAGAGGCUUAUCCAGCUUCUGCUUUCUUCAAGGAGAAUGGGGUUGAUCCCACACAGCACCAUCUCUAACGGUUAUCGGGCAAUUAGGAGGGUGUCCUUCACAAGCAGAUGCAGACCUCCAGUCACCCAGCCCCUGCAGGUUUUACCCUGUAAUGCAGCAUCCAUCCAGCAGCUACAUCUCUCCAGCUCAGACCUCAGGGUGUCCUGUUGCAUCUCAGUGUUAUCGUUAUCAGUUUGAAAGAGGAGUGGAAAGUGGAAAUCAAGCUGAGAGGAGCUGUCCUACCUAUGACAGAAAGACAAGGAGACUGAUGCUGGCAAGGAGAGGAGAUCGGGGCUGAGAGCCGUGUGGCGAUGAAGAUGCAGAACGGCUGUGGUGCCAGGAGACGUAGGAGCAAAGUCCUAGCAAACCAGUGGUGGAACAAGAGCUUCGGUCAGCUUUUAAUGCCUGGAUCGUUUUGAUUCUGCAACCUCCACAAAUGCUUGCUCCUCCUGCAGCCGCGUUAGGGGACCUGGGAAUCCGUCCCGCUUGUUUUUGCCAAGGCUGUUGUUGUGGAUCUGCCAGGUUAAAUCCCCUGAGGGUUUUCUCCGCUCUGACUUUGUACUUAUCUAGUGGUCUUUGACCUGCCUUUAUCUUUUAGAAUCAGUACUCAACUGGCCCAGCCUGGUCCAGUCAAUGUGCCUUUAGAUGUCUGACCUUCAGAUCUGCUGCUGCAGGUGCUAUUUAUUCCACCGCCCCUUCCUUGCUGUUUGCUUUUGUUGUGCCUUUCACCUUGCAUUGCUUUGCCCUCACACUGCUGUGCCCUCUCCAUGUCAGAUCUUUCCUCCUCUGGCCUUCUGUUGCUAUCGACACCCACCAUAGGAGGAAUCUGGUCUCUUGGGUCAUUUGCAUGGGGGAAAAGCACGCACAACUGUCUCAGAGAUCAGUAAUAUCAGAUGCUAUGCAGUGAAAUUUGGGUCUUAGUGGAAAGGUGGCUUUUGUAACCCUGUCUGCGACCAGGAAGGUAUUUCUGUGAGCAGGGAGAAGCUCUGGAGGAAGAGCUGGAUCUCAAGCUGCUUCUUUGCUGAGGGGUGAAGCCUCUGCUUGGGGGCUCACCAAAUAAACAACUGACAGUGGGAGCGUGAAAUGCGGCUGGAGCAGCAUGGAGGCUCUCGGAUGAAGUCACUGACGGUCGUGCAUGCCACGAUUGCCUCCAGCCUGGCUUACUGCAGCGUGCUCGGUUUGGGAUGAAAGCUACUGCUUUAUCCUGUGCCACGGCAGGGCCGGCUGACGUGGCUGCCUAACAUCUGUGUGCUGUGCCCCGCGGUGCUGAGCCACAGCUCGCCUCCCGGGACACGUGGAAGAGCUGACAGCUGCAGAGUCUGCUACGGGGUGGGGAGCUGGCUGAGGGCACUGCCUCGUGUCCUCAUCCCAUGUAUAAUUGAUAGGGACUGAAAUGGUUUUUGUAUUUCUUUUCCUCAGCUCUCCCUAGUUGAAGACUCUUACUGGCAAGAAGGGGAGAGGCUGAGCAGGGAGGAACAUUUCCUUCAUUACAAUAAUAACCCUAUCAGGUGUUUUAUCCAGGUCCUGCAUAGCCCAAAGCCCUUCCAUUUUAAUGAUGUUUUGAAACAGAAAGCAGCCUUUAUGGCCUCUGAGGGAGAGAUGGAGAGAACGAGAACAGGCAGAAUCAGAGGCAGAGGAUGCCAAAGUCACUGUUUUCUAACUAACUGAAGAGUGAGAGGUAUUAAUCAGAGCUCUCAAAACACUGUUUGCAUUAAAAAUGUACUAGAGAAGAGUGACUUUUCAGCCACAGAGCUGACUGACCCUGGCUGUGUCAGGCUGUGUCACCUGGCUGAGCUCUGAUUGCCAAUGCAAACUGGGCUUAAGCUUUUCCCUCUUGUGUGGCUGGGCUUCUGGUGUCCUUGCCUCUUCCCUGCCCUCUGGUUAGACCGGAUGAACUUGGUACCUUUGAGACAUCUGCCUCUCCAUCAAAUCCAGCUAGUCAACAGGUUUGAAAGUUACCCAGAGUGGACUGAUGGGCUGACUACAGAAAACAUACUUGCUUAUGACUCAUUUCCUUUGGAAAUCAGGCUGAAAACGAAUAAACUUAAGACCUGAGUAAUGAUUCAGUGUAUUACUUGCUUGAGAAGGCCUGGGUUUGAAAUGUGCAGGAGCUUAAGCUGGUCCUCUAAUAAGAUAACUGCUCUUUAAUACAAGCUGUGGCAAAGUGCUUCAGGUUAAGUUCAUUCAGAUCGUUCCCAACCCUUCCAUAAACCAGAUCAGUGCAGUGUGCUGCUGGCAGUGGAAGGAGGAGGUAGGACAGUGUGUCUGAUUUGAAGAAUAUGGAGGGGAACCUCUACCCCAGGUAACACCCCAGGUAAGGAGCUUGUUUUCAGACCAGGAGCACGAGAAUCAUUGUAAUGGAUCAGGCCAAUGAUGCAGCUCCUUGUCUAGACUGUGCCUUUUCAAUUAAGCUAGAGGAUAUGAAGAUAUACUAAGAAUGACGUGAUGGCUAAAGAAUUUGUAGUGGGUUCUGCUGAGAGACGUAUCAGUUAGAGACCACUAGAAGAAUGCUGCAGGAAUUAAUUUCAGAAUUGAACUUGUCUAAUGCUUCUGUUAAUUGCCCUGAUGUAAAAGAAAGAGCACCUACUGACACUGUGAAGUUGGAAGGUAUCCUCAAAAAGGAUAAGGAUGGCAAUGUCAUAAAAAGAGCUACAUCACCUGGUGGACAGUGUUAAAUUCAUUUGGGAUGGAGAUCAGUAACACAAAACUUACAAUCAUACUCUUUGGGAUUUAAAGCAAGGAUUUCUGCUAGAAUUUGUGAGCUCAUGAGCUGGAAAUAGCCAAAGAGGAAAAGGAUCUGAAUAUGCUAGUUGGUCACAGGAUGACUGAGUCAUUUAUGUGACAUGGCCAUGGACAGGGAAAUUAAAAUCUCUGAGAAGUUUAUUCAUAAAUCCAAACCAGUUAGCAGUGGUUCUCAAGCAUGAAAAUGUAAUAUUUGCUUUACAGUUUUUAUCCUAUCUAAUAUAGCAGUGAAUGUGCUGAUUAGUUAUGUGUCUAAGCCUUCUUUUCUAACCUUAUUAGGGUCUUUAACUCCAUGAUACCUUCUGGCACUGCGCUCCAAGUUAAUCAGCCCUGGGUUUUAAAAAUUAUUUUGUAUUCAUCUACUAAUUUAAUUUACCCUCCACCCCAUAAGCAAAGCUCCUGAGCUGCCUCAGUUUGAGCUCCAUCACAGUUGUUAGAGAACAUACAAAGGAAAGUGAGCGUAUUUACUUUGUCCGUGCAGCAUAGGUAAGGAUCUUGUGCUGCUCUGGUUUCUUUGCAACAUGAAUGCACUACUGCAUCUUGAGCAAUUAAUCACUGCAAAUCAUUUAAGAGGCUAGUAAUCUAGGAUUUGAAUUAUGCUGGUAUUAAAACAUAUGGUGACUGAAGAGAGCGCUGAGGCUUUAUUUGCACCAUGCUGUCUGAGAAUCAUUCCUAGUGGCAUGGGGCAGGAGCUCUUUUUUUUUGUUUUGUUUUUUAGAAAUAUGAGUGGGGAAAAAAAGGUGCUAUUGCAGAGCAAUAGCGAGUGCUGAUUUACAACGAUCAUCCAGGAAUAACAGACUCCUUCCCUCAUGGUUCUGCUUUUGCAAGGUUAACUGAUGGCCUCCACAGGUAGCACCUGUUUGGGAGAGGCUACGGCUAUUGUGUGGAGCCCACCUGUUUUCUGAAAGAGUGGAAGAAAUGUAGGUCUUUGACCUUCCCCCCCCCUCUGGGAGCAGGAGUGGGGCAAAACAAUAUGAAUUCUCACAGCUUCUUCCCUGCAGUUGAUUGAAAGAUUGUUCUUUACAUCAUAAAGAUGCUGUUCAUAGGGGGUGAAUUGGUGGGUUAGAUGGUGACUGCAGGGAUGGCACUGCACGCUGGAGGUACAAGUUGGUUAGUCACAGCAGCCCAGGAAUAGCCAAAGGAAGUGCUAAGGGUCUCACAUAAAUUUUCAAGUCCCAGACACCUCCUCUGCUUUUAAUUUGCUUUCAGGAGUAAGUUUGUUCUCCCACACACCACACUGGGGAGUGUGCAGGACAAAGAUACACUAGUGCAUGUCUUCUAUUCUCCCUCCAUCUGCUUCAGGUAGCAGUAAACAAUUCUGCUGCCUGGAGUUGGGAGUGAAGUCUUUCGAGUUGGAAAAGAUCUAGGGUAAGCAGUAUCCAGCUGGGCUGACCUGAGAUCAGUCUAUGCAAGUUAGGCUGAGCCUCACAGAUCUGUAAGAUGGGCGGCGAAUCUCCACCGCUGCGUGAUGAGGUUCUACCAAGAGGGCCCCCAACGCUCCUGCUUUACAGAGCAAGGAGACUUGCAGCAAGGUAGAAACCUCACUUGAGUUUCCUCGAGUAUGAAACGAGCCAUUUAGUCCCUGAUGUUGCCGGGCCAGGCUAACACCAGAAGCAUGAAGACUGACAGCUGUAAUCAGGGCAUCAGAGGAGAUUUGGAAUCAAAAUUUGAGGAAAACGAGUUUGGUGGCUGCUUGCUGGCUGACCCAGCUGCUCCUUUCCAGCAGCUCCUAGGAAACCAGAUCGACGGCUAGAUUAGCGGAGUUUUGCUGCCUGCCACUCCGAUCUGAAAGGAGGUGCUGCUGCUGCUGAUGCAGAACAAUCUGCGUGACAGCCCCCUAAACUGGCAGCAAUGAGACGCAACAGCCAGUGCUCCCACUAAAGCGGGAUCGGGAAGACUGAGCAGUGGCUAGGGAAGUAUGUGCUUUGGUAAGGCAAAAGUUUUACCCGUCAAAAAUGGAUGUGCUAGAGAGGGUGUCACAGCACAGAUGGGUCCUAAGGAGAGCCAGGGAGGAGAAAAGGUCCAGCCUGAACUGAUAUACAACAGGUAAUAAAAUCAGCUCCGAUGAAUCAGAUGCACCGAGAUGCUGUGGGGCAGAGCCUGAGGACACGGGGGAUGAGAGGGCAAUGCUGGCAGAACAGACGGGGCCUGCAAAGGGCCACAACUCUGCCUGGGAGGUCAGAAAGUCUGCCACAGCUGCAGUGCAACUGGGGGAGCCAGCAGAGGAACUCGAGCAGAAAAGGCACUGAGUGCGUAAGCAGCCCCGGCUCCUGAGCUGAGAAACGCGAUGGGGGAACUGGGUUCACAGGACAAAGCCAAGGAGAAGCAGAUGGUGCUGUGCAGCCGAUGAGCCUCGGGGUGACGGCGUGUCAAGAAUUUUGGAGAGUGGGGAGAGCAGAGUGCAUUUUGAAGUAAAGAUCGUGACAUUAGCUAUUGCCUAUGGACAGUAACAGAUGAGCUCUGGCACAUCAAACUAUGACAGAUAAAAUCAUCGCUCCCAGCUGGCCCUUCUGCCAUGGGUUACUGCAGAGAGAAAACGUGACUGCGCCGAAUUCGCUCCACGAAUUGUCCUAGUAUGGUUUCCAGCACGGUCCUAAGCUCAGAAUGGCUGUAGCGAGAUGUGACCCCAGCUUACACGGCUGCCAAGUGGCCACCAAGGCAAGUAAGUGUACAAGAACGGGGCCAGCCACGGGGCCUUCCUGACACCUCCCAGCCUCACACAACUUGAGCGUGCCCCAGCUGAAGGUACCGCCAGCAAUUCCAGCCAGGCGCCCAGAAACCACACCAACUCUACAGUCGUGGUUAAAGAAAGAGGAGCAGUAACACUCUGAGCCACCACAAGAGGAUUUACCUGCAUUCAUCUAUCAAUGUCUUAUGUUUACUGUUUCCCAUCCAAGAUGCAGAGCAGGAAUGAACAAAAGGAGACCGAUUCCUGAGCAGCCGUGAGUAACAGCUUCCUGGUUAAUGAUGGUUCGCAGUGACUUCUUCAAAACAUUCUUAACCCUCAGUAUUAGUCACUGGCAUGGUUACCUGAGUAAGCUGAAAUCAAGACUAAUAAACAGUUGUCUUCCUUCUACAUCAGUUUCUUACCCAUGAAGUGAGAGAAGACAGAAGGAAAAAAAAAAAAGCCAGUAAAUUUCCUCAAAACCUCAUUAUGUAGUUCCUCCCUAUCUUAAUUGUUUCCUCAGUUUCAUACUCUGUCAUGCUAUUUUCUGUAAGGUGGCACGAUGUCAGGAAGAAACCAGGAUCUGGCAACGUUUAGACCUCCCCUUUUAUUUAUACCCUUUUAUUUUGCUGUUUCAUUCUUUACACCAAUCUCCUUUACUGGGUGUGCAAUAGAUCUAAAAUCCCAAUGUGAAAUCUUCUGAUGACCUUCCAUACUUGCAGCAUCAAUCCCACUUCUCACAGGACACUGAGGGGAAACCAGGGAUGCGCUGCCGAGUUGUUAGGCAGCUCUAGGAGAAAGGCUGGAGAAGCAGGGCUGGAGUCAGGUUAGAAACUUCUGGGUCUGAGCCCAAGUGAACAGGAGGAAGAGAAGGAUGCUCCACCUGCUGAACCAUGGAAAGGUGGCACAGCUCACAGGAAAAAAAAAAGAAAAAAGGUAACCAUGGGGCUCAUGGGUGUAUUUAGCAAUAGAUGGGGAACCAGC
Anas platyrhynchos (mallard) is the source of this 7542-nucleotide non-coding RNA. Lineage: Eukaryota; Metazoa; Chordata; Aves; Anseriformes; Anatidae. The record is from RefSeq and is a predicted model, not a curated record.